GCUGAGUGGUUGGAGACUUCAUCGUGGUGAAAUCUUCCUCUGUUGUGCGUUGAAAGCGGGUGCUGCUAGGCACCGCUGUUGAUGAAGUGUCACGAGUCCUGAAAGGCACAUCUGUUGUUACCAAGGGUGUGCUGCCUUGCCCAUGAUUGGUUUGAUAUUUCUGUGUGGUGAAGUCUCCCUCUGUAGUGCGUUGAAAGCGGGUGCUGCUAGGCACCGCUGUUGGUGAUGUCCGGAAAGGCACAUCUGUUGUUACCGAGGGUGUGCUACCUGACCCAUGAUUGGUUUGAAAUUUCUGCGUGGUGAAGUCUCCCUCUGUGGUUCCUGGAUAGCGCGUGCUGCUAGGUGCCUCCGGUGUGGAAGUGUCACGGGUCCUGAAGGGCACACCUGUUGUCCACAAGUGUGAGGUGCCUGAUUCCUGAGUGGUUCGAGACUUCAUCGUCGUGAAAUCUUCCUCUGUUGUGCGUUGAAAGCGGGUGCUGCUAGGCACCGCUGUUGAUGAAGUGUCACGAGUCCUGAAAGGCACAUCUGUUGUUACCAAGGGUGUGCUGCCUGGCCCAUGAUUUGUUUGAUAUUUCUGUGUGGUGAAGUCUCCCUCUGUAGUGCGUUGAAAGCGGGUGCUGCUAGGCACCGCUGUUGAUGUCCGGAAAGGCACAUCUGUUGUUACCGAGGGUGUGCUACCUGACCCAUGAUUGGUUUGAAAUUUCUGCGUGGUGAAGUCUCCCUCUGUGGUUCCUGGAUAGCGCGCGCUGCUAGGCGCCUUCGUUGUGGAAGUGUCACGUGUCCUGAAGUACGCAUCUGUGGUUACCGAGUAUGUGCUGCCUGAUUCGCGAGUUCCUGGAUAUUUCUUCGUGGUGAAAAUACGCUUUCUUGUGCCAGCAUAGCGGGAAC
Molecule: long non-coding RNA, 888 nt
Organism: Dermacentor silvarum
Lineage: Eukaryota; Metazoa; Arthropoda; Arachnida; Ixodida; Ixodidae
Exons: 4
Source: RefSeq, a predicted model, not a curated record